RNAcentral lists this ribosomal RNA (484 nucleotides) under uncultured bacterium. RNAcentral's name for it is "partial 16S ribosomal RNA". It matches the Rfam family "Bacterial small subunit ribosomal RNA", at positions 30 to 507 of the family's 1533-position model. The record is from RNAcentral.
AUUGAACGCUGGCGGCAGGCCUAACACAUGCAAGUCGAGCGGAUGAAGGGAGCUUGCUCCUGGAUUCAGCGGCGGACGGGUGAGUAAUGCCUAGGAAUCUGCCUGGUAGUGGGGGAUAACGUCCGGAAACGGGCGCUAAUACCGCAUACGUCCUGAGGGAGAAAGUGGGGGAUCUUCGGACCUCACGCUAUCAGAUGAGCCUAGGUCGGAUUAGCUAGUUGGUGGGGUAAAGGCCUACCAAGGCGACGAUCCGUAACUGGUCUGAGAGGAUGAUCAGUCACACUGGAACUGAGACACGGUCCAGAGUCCUGCGGGAGGCAGCAGUGGGGAAUAUUGGACAAUGGGCGAAAGCCUGAUCCAGCCAUGCCGAGUGUGUGAAGAAGGUCUUCGGAUUGUAAAGCACUUUAAGUUGGGAGGAAGGGCAGUAAGUUAAUACCUUGCUGUUUUGACGUUACCAACAGAAUAAGCACCGGCUAACUUCGUG